GAUGAACGCUGGCGGCGUGCCUAAUACAUGCAAGUCGAGCGAACAGACGAGGAGCUUGCUCCUCUGACGUUAGCGGCGGACGGGUGAGUAACACGUGGAUAACCUACCUAUAAGACUGGGAUAACUUCGGGAAACCGGAGCUAAUACCGGAUAAUAUAUUGAACCGCAUGGUUCAAUAGUGAAAGACGGUUUUGCUGUCACUUAUAGAUGGAUCCGCGCCGCAUUAGCUAGUUGGUAAGGUAACGGCUUACCAAGGCAACGAUGCGUAGCCGACCUGAGAGGGUGGACGGCCACACUGGAACUGAGACACGGGCCAGACUCCUAAGGGAGGCAGCAGUAGGGAAUCUUCCGGAAUGGGCGAAAGCCUGAAGGAGCAACGCCGCGUGGGUGAUGAAGGUCUUCGGAUCGUAAAACUCUGUUAUUAGGGAAGAACAAAUGUGUAAGUAACUAUGCACGUCUUGACGGUACCUAAUCAGAAAGCCACGGCUAACUACGGG
RNAcentral lists this ribosomal RNA (497 nucleotides) under uncultured bacterium. RNAcentral's name for it is "partial 16S ribosomal RNA". It matches the Rfam family "Bacterial small subunit ribosomal RNA", at positions 28 to 507 of the family's 1533-position model. The record is from RNAcentral.